Molecule: unclassified non-coding RNA, 343 nt
Filed under: soil metagenome
Description: partial contains 5.8S ribosomal RNA, internal transcribed spacer 2, and large subunit ribosomal RNA
Rfam family: 5.8S ribosomal RNA (bases 1-120)
Source: RNAcentral
GAUGAAGAACGUAGCGAAAUGCGAUAAGUAAUGUGAAUUGCAGAAUUCAGUGAAUCAUCGAAUCUUUGAACGCACAUUGCGCCCGCUAGUAUUCUGGCGGGCAUGCCUGUCCGAGCGUCAUUUCAACCCUCAAGCCCCCGGGCUUGGUGUUGGGGAUCGGCGAGCCUCCGCGCCCGCCGUCCCCUAAAUCUAGUGGCGGUCUCGCUGUAGCUUCCUCUGCGUAGUAGCACACCUCGCACUGGGAAACAGCGCGGCCACGCCGUUAAACCCCCAACUUCUGAACGUUUGACCUCGGAUCAGGUAGGAAUACCCGCUGAACUUAAGCAUAUCAAGAAGCGGAGGA